RNAcentral lists this ribosomal RNA (336 nucleotides) under Mycale laevis. RNAcentral's name for it is "eukaryotic LSU rRNA". It matches the Rfam family "Eukaryotic large subunit ribosomal RNA", at positions 23 to 352 of the family's 3401-position model. The record is from RNAcentral. Lineage: Eukaryota; Metazoa; Porifera; Demospongiae; Poecilosclerida; Mycalidae.
ACCCGCUGCCUUUAAGCAUAUUAAUAAGCGGAGGAAAAGAAACUAACCAGGAUUCCCCCAGUAACGGCGAGCGAAGUGGGAACAGCUCGAGCCUGAAAUCCCCGGCGUUGCACGCCGGAGAAUUGUGGCCGGGAGAGGCAGCCGCGCCCCGACUGGUGCUGUCGAAGUUGACCUGGAAAGGCACGUCAGAGAGGGUGAGAGCCCCGUGCGCGACACCGCCGGUCGGGGACGCUACUGUCUUCGGAGAGUCGGGUUGUUUGGGAAUGCAGCCCAAAGUGGGUGGUAGACUCCAUCUAAAGCUAAAUACUGGCACGAGACCGAUAGCGAACAAGUACC